RNAcentral lists this transfer RNA (76 nucleotides) under Bryobacterales bacterium. RNAcentral describes it as "tRNA-Phe". It matches the Rfam family "tRNA". Rfam says of the family: Transfer RNA (tRNA) molecules are approximately 80 nucleotides in length. Lineage: Bacteria; Pseudomonadati; Acidobacteriota; Terriglobia; Bryobacterales. The record is from RNAcentral.
GGCUAGGUAGCUCAGUUGGUAGAGCGCGGCCCUGAAAAGGCCGGCGUCGGCGGUUCAAGUCCGCCCCUAGCCACCA